AAUAUCAAUUAAAUAUAAAUUUGCAAAUGUCUCUAAAACAGUCGCAAAUUGCAAGUGUCAAACAUCGUGCUUCAUCGUUUUAAAUUAAAUACUUGUCUGUUUAAUGAAGAAUCUUGCAGAAUUUUAUCAAACAAGUCAUGGAUGCAAACGAUGUUAUUUCUUCCUCCGAUGAAAGUUCCUACGAAGAAUUAUUGGCACUGUGGCUCCUAAGACGGUGACGAAGAAGACGUGCAGAAAGAAGAUUUUGUGUUCACCCUCUUUGGAAACGACGGCUAGAACAAGGCGCUCAUGAUAAUCUGUACAUGGAAAUGGUUGUGGUUGAUCCGGAUAUGUUUAGAGCAUAUAUA
This is a long non-coding RNA of Belonocnema kinseyi, 347 nucleotides long. RefSeq lists it as uncharacterized. The record is from RefSeq and is a predicted model, not a curated record. The transcript has 3 exons. NCBI's taxonomy places the organism in Eukaryota, Metazoa, Arthropoda, Insecta, Hymenoptera, Cynipidae.